GCAAACCAGCUGAUAAAAGCCAUGGCUGUAGCAGCUUCAAACCUAGAGCAGUGGUUCAUAGAACACUUAUCGAGAUCAUUGCCAAUUAGGACUGUGAUACCAGCAGAUGCACUGGCCGCUGCAAAUAUAAGGGUUGAUGUAAUCCCAUCACCAAUGGCAAAAAGUCGAACAAUUACUCGUUUCCUGAGACUUCUUCUCACCAAAAGAGCAUAAGCAUCCACAAUAGCCAAGGACAAGCUCCAUGAUAUUUGCAAGCUAACAGCAAUGACCAGGUAGCAAAAAGCUGUGACAGAGCGGAAGUCACUGGUGGUGGCCAUGACGCAGACAGAGACAAGACCGAACAAGAACUGAAGAAGACGAAGCGCGAGGCCACCGUGAGUCCCUGGCAUGCCUUGGACGUCCUUCAUACUCAUUCUCGGCCUGUUCAGAGGCCCAUCGUUCAACGGCGGUGCCUCCACCGGAUGCACCGUUGGCCUACUCCCAUUCAUCAUCUAUUAUUCCCAGUAUCUAUACACCGAUCAUAGACACAAAACAAGAAGAGAUACAAGAGUAUGGGGAAUGGGUUUGUAUAGAAGGGAAAUCGAAUUGGAUUAAAUUCUAGUCAUGGGUUUUUGAUGAAAUGAUGAUCGAUCAAUGAAUUGAGGAUUUUUUUUUUUCCUUUUUCACUAAGUAACAAGUGAAUAUUUCUCAGUGGACUGCCUUUUUCUC
RNAcentral lists this unclassified non-coding RNA (708 nucleotides) under Hevea brasiliensis (rubber tree). The record is from RNAcentral. Lineage: Eukaryota; Viridiplantae; Streptophyta; Magnoliopsida; Malpighiales; Euphorbiaceae.